Molecule: long non-coding RNA, 1260 nt
Organism: Cyprinus carpio carpio
Lineage: Eukaryota; Metazoa; Chordata; Actinopteri; Cypriniformes; Cyprinidae
Source: Ensembl
AUGACAACGCUGAAACAGAUCUUGGCACAGAUACGGCCCGGGGACUGGUUCGUCUCAGUGGAUCUAAAAGACACAUACUUCCAAAUUCAAAUAGCGACGCGCCACAGGCGCUUCCUGAGGUUUGCUUUAGAAGGCACAGCUUAUCAGUAUUCAGUGCUCCCGUUCGGCCUCGCCCUCGCCCCCCGCACAUUUUUAAAGUGUGUGGACGCAGCGCUUUCUCCCCUCAGAUCGAGCGGAAUGCGCAUCUUGAAUUAUCUGGACGAUUGGCUGAUUUUAGCCCACUCAAGGGAUGUGCUAAUCAGUCACGUGGAAACACUGCUUCGCCAUUUGGAUACGCUGGGACUGCGUGUGAAUAUGCAGAAGAGCGUGUUUUUACCGAGCCGGACUAUAACAUAUCUGGGAGUAUGUUUGGACUCGAUGGCGAUGCGAGCUCAUCUCUCUCAAGAGCGCAUAGAGGCAAUUUCAUCGACUCUGUGUCGUUUCAGACCGGGCAGGUCGGUUUCACUGAGGGAAUUUCAGAGGCUUUUGGGACUGAUGGCGGCGGCUUCUUCAAUGUGCCAUCUGGAUCUGCUGCAUAUGCGGCCGCUACAGUUUUGGCUGAAGACCCGAGUUCUGCCGAGGGCGUGGUAUUCAGGCCACAAGCGCAUUACGGUCACUCACAGUUGCGUCAGCACUCUGAGACCGUGGAGCAGCCCGGAUAUGUUCAGCCCAGGAGUUCCUUUGGGUAUAGUGAUGCAGCGCACCGUGCACCUGUUGUGGGCGGACCGACACUUUCUCUCCAUAACAGCACCGCACAUCCCCGGUAUCCUGAACCGUGGAGCAGACAUGCUUUCGAGGAAUGGGAUUCCUCAAGGAGAGUGGAGGCUUCACCCAGGAUCAGUUCAAAUGAUUUGGGAUCGAUUCGGGAGGGCGGAAGCGGAUUUGUUUGCCACAAGUGAGAACACGCACUGUCAGGCGUUCUUCUCGCUAUCUCACUCCCCGCUGCCGGGAGAUGCUCUGACAUCGCGUUGGCCGGAAGCCAGACUUUACGCGUUCCCUCUGGUGAAGAUUCUGCCUAUGGUGUUGUGCAAAAUCAGGAAGGAGAGAGUGUCAGUUAUACUCGUGGCCCCGAACUGGCUGAAUCAGCCCUGGUUCGCGGACCUGAGAGAGUUAGUGGUUGCUCCCCCAUGGCAAAUUCCCCUCAGAAAGGACCUGCUGUCUCAGGUGAAUGGCACGAUAUGGCACCCCAGCCCCGAGCUGUGGAACCUUCAUGGACCCUAA